Molecule: ribosomal RNA, 436 nt
Filed under: uncultured bacterium
Lineage: Bacteria
Description: bacterial SSU rRNA
Rfam family: Bacterial small subunit ribosomal RNA
Source: RNAcentral
GGCCUACAACAAGUGGUGGAGCAUGUGGUUUAAUGCGAUAAUCCGCGCAAAACCUUACCAACCCUUGACAUAGAAAAUAAACAAUUUUAGUUUUUUAAAUCCUUAAAAUUGUUAUGUUUUUUACAGGUGUUGCACGACUGUCGUCAGCUCGUGUCGUAAGAUGUUUGGUUCAUUCCUUUAACGAGCGCAACUCUUGUCUUUAUCACGUAUUUUACUUUUUAAAAUAAUUUUUAUUUUUAAAGCUUUAUAUGACACUAUCAAUGAUAAAUUGAAGGAAGGUGAGAAUCAAGUCAAGUCCCUGUGGCCCUUAUGGGUUGGGCUACACACGUGCUACAAUGGAAAUUACAAUAAGUUACAAAAUUUUAUUUAAGUUAAUCUUUAAAAGUUUCCUUAGUUCGGAUUACAAACUGCAACUCGUUUGUAUGAAGUUGGAAUC